This 244-nucleotide ribosomal RNA is filed under the name uncultured bacterium. RNAcentral describes it as "partial 16S ribosomal RNA". It matches the Rfam family "Bacterial small subunit ribosomal RNA", at positions 796 to 1041 of the family's 1533-position model. RNAcentral also lists the same sequence under 1 other name. The record is from RNAcentral.
CACGCCCUAAACGAUGAUCACUAGAUAUUGGCGACAAACAGUCAGUGUCCAAGCGAAAGUGAUAAGUGAUCCACCUGGGGACUACGGCCGCAAGGUUAAAACUCAAAGGAAUUGACGGGGGCCCGCACAAGCGGAGGAGCAUGUGGUUUAAUUCGAUGGUACGCGAGGAACCUUACCUGGGUUAGAACGUAUGAGCGAUGCAGCUGAAAGGUUGCAGGCCUGCGAAGGAGUUCAUACGAGGUGC